Vidua macroura (Pin-tailed whydah) is the source of this 428-nucleotide long non-coding RNA. RefSeq lists it as uncharacterized. The transcript is spliced from 2 exons. The record is from RefSeq and is a predicted model, not a curated record. Lineage: Eukaryota; Metazoa; Chordata; Aves; Passeriformes; Viduidae.
UCCCAGUUCCCCCCAGUCCCUCCCAGUUCCUCCCAGUUCUACCCAGUUCCUCCCAGUCCCUUCCAGUCCCUCCUAACCUCUUCCAGUCCUUCCCAGUCCCUCCAAGUUCCCUCCCAUCCCUCCCAGUUCCAGCCCCAGGCCCUUCCCAGUCUCUACCAGUCCCUCCCAGUUCCCCCAGUUUCAGCCCCAGCCCCCUCCCAGUCCCUCCCAGUUCCCCCAGUCUCUCCCAGUCCCAGCUCCAGUUCCCUCCCAGUCCAUCCCAGUCCCUCCUAACCUCUCCCAGUUCCCCCCAGUCCUUCCCAGUCCCUCCCAGUCCUUCCCAGUCUCUCCCAGUUCCCUCCCAGUCUGUCCCAGUUCCCCGCGGGGGGGUUGCCUGUAAAUAACCCCCCAAUCACUAAUUUUGCUAACGAAUAAAAGCGACUAUUUUA